RNAcentral lists this ribosomal RNA (429 nucleotides) under Chloroflexota bacterium. RNAcentral describes it as "Chloroflexi bacterium partial 16S ribosomal RNA". It matches the Rfam family "Bacterial small subunit ribosomal RNA", at positions 355 to 776 of the family's 1533-position model. Lineage: Bacteria; Bacillati; Chloroflexota. The record is from RNAcentral.
UGGGGAAUAUUGCACAAUGGGCGCAAGCCUGAUGCAGCCAUGCCGCGUGUAUGAAGAAGGCCUUCGGGUUGUAAAGUACUUUCAGCGGGGAGGAAGGGAGUAAAGUUAAUACCUUUGCUCAUUGACGUUACCCGCAGAAGAAGCACCGGCUAACUCCGUGCCAGCAGCCGCGGUAAUACGGAGGGUGCAAGCGUUAAUCGGAAUUACUGGGCGUAAAGCGCACGCAGGCGGUUGGUUAAGUCAGAUGUGAAAUCCCCGGGCUCAACCUGGGAACUGCAUCUGAUACUGGCAAGCUUGAGUCUCGUAGAGGGGGGUAGAAUUCCAGGUGUAGCGGUGAAAUGCGUAGAGAUCUGGAGGAAUACCGGUGGCGAAGGCGGCCCCCUGGACGAAGACUGACGCUCAGGUGCGAAAGCGUGGGGAGCAAACAGG